GCCGUUGCUAUGGUAAUCCUUUUAAGUAUGAGAGGAACCGCAGGUUCAGAUAAUUGGUAUAUCUACCUGGUCGAAAGGCCAAUGGCGCGAAGCUACUAUCUGAGGGAUCAAGACCGAACACCUCUAAGUCUGAAUGCCGUCUAUAUUUGCAGAGGUGCAUAAAUCUGGAAAGCUCAGAGAAAAUAUGAAAUGCAGUUAGCACAAUCUGCAAUCAAGCAGCCUAAGAGACUAUUCUCGUACAUAAAUUAAAGAACAAGGAUUAUGGAUUGGAUUCUCAACCCAAUAAAGUAAGAGAACGAAUAUGAAAUGAUAAAGGAUCUUGGGGUGAUAGUGAGUCAUGAUCUUAUGAUCAUGGCCCACUGCCUAGAGGUUGCGGCUAC
Molecule: non-coding RNA, 380 nt
Filed under: Schistosoma mattheei
Lineage: Eukaryota; Metazoa; Platyhelminthes; Trematoda; Strigeidida; Schistosomatidae
Description: Eukaryotic large subunit ribosomal RNA
Rfam family: Eukaryotic large subunit ribosomal RNA
Source: Rfam by way of RNAcentral